Perca flavescens (yellow perch) is the source of this 4291-nucleotide long non-coding RNA. RefSeq lists it as uncharacterized. Lineage: Eukaryota; Metazoa; Chordata; Actinopteri; Perciformes; Percidae. The record is from RefSeq and is a predicted model, not a curated record. The transcript has 5 exons.
AAUCCUUUCUACCAACAAGAAUGAUACAGCUGUCAUUUGUCCUGCCCUUACAUGUGCAACAGAGCUAACAAAAGGCUCAGGAAUAUGUCAGUCAAUCAGUCUAUACACACCCACACAGUCUUGGGAAUAGGUCUAAUCAGCCAGAUUCACUGAAAACACCUGUAUGGGGGUUCAGGGUAGGCUGCAGCGCUACUCUGGAUUCUCUCUGCCUGCCUUUCGGGGAAAGUGGGCUUGAAGAAGUGGUUUGUGGUGAAAGGAAGCGACUGAGUGUGCUGCGUGUCGAUGUCCUGCGAUGAAGAGUGCAGUUUUCUUUGGGCAAAGUGGAGUGCAGAAAUACUGGAGGUUCAGUAGCCCACCAAGCGCAGAUGUUGCCAGUGUAACUAAUCAACCGAGGAGCUGCCAAUCUGCUGACGACCCUCUGCCACACCCACCUGCACUAUACUGCAAGGUGUCCACUGAGGCGUUAUCAAACGACCAAUAUAAAGGAUAUAGAGGAGGAAAGACAAAUGCCCUGUUGUCCUGCGAACAAUGUUCGACGAGCCACUGACUGAACUCUGGCUGGCCUUUUUCCAUGGAAACCUGAUCAUAUUCAGUGACACGAUCGAGAUGCCUGAAGGUCAGGACCGCUGUGCUGCAAUUCCAGGGCUUUCAAGUUUUGAAGACAGGCAAGAGUGACACCCCCCCCCCAAUCAGAGGGUUGCGGGAAUGGGGGUGUUUCAUUAAUAAUAUUAUUAUAGUGUUGUUGUGGUUGUUGUUAUUAAUAAUUGUUCAGACAUGCAGAAGUAAAUAUUUGACACAUGGCACUGACAAUUCAACCAAAUACAAAGUAUUUAUUCAAUUUCUGUGUGUGUGUGUGUGUGUGUGUGUGUGUGUGUGUGUGUGUGUGUGUGUGAGUGAGUGUAUGUGCUUGUGGAGUUUAACUACAGACACUGACAAAAACUGAUGCUAAUUAUCUGGGAAAAAUUCUCUAACAGCACUCAAGUUGUCAUUGUUUGUGUCAAACAAGUUGUGAAUUUGUUGUAACAUUAAAACAGGAGAUAAUUUACUCUGUUCUCAAAGUGAUGCUCGGAGCUCCAGUGGUUCCCUCUAUGGGUGACUUUCCGGAAGAUGUUAUAGCAGAAUCACGUUAAUAAUUCCAGGAUAUGGUUUUCUUCAUUGGUUGUUGCGUUAAAUCUUACCCAGAUUCAAUAGUGCUAUUUUGUUAUUGGCUAUUGUGUAGCCCCUUUCUUUUUUUUUUUUGGAUUGGCUAAGUGGCAGGCUCAACUAAGAACUCCAGGGGAGACACACUUGAUUUCUGCCGGUUCCAUAGUGAGAGCGGCACGGCCAGAGAAAUUUUGGGUGCUGCGGCAUAUUAAAUAUACUAUAAAUAGUUUUACCGCAUGAGAAAUACGAUGUGUGGUGGGAGUGUGUGACAAAAGACUGAAAUGAGUGACUGUCAUGCUCAAUGCGUGACACUUGAGAGCCCUGCAAUUCUGAGAAACAUUGAGGCAAAAUUGACUGCAAGACAUGAUGACAAGGGUUGCUGGAGUUCUGAAAGGGGCGCUUCAAGAAUGGAAAACAUCUGAAUCACCGCUUAGUCAGAGAUGGAGCACGGUGGUUGAUUACAUCAACGACUGUAACUGCACAAAUAGAAGUGCAUCAAAAUCCAAAUGGCUUGACCGCAGUAAGCCUCUGGCUUUACAGUACAUCUACCGUACAUCUACGGCAACUGCUUUCACAAGUUCAUCUGGACCUCCCACACCUGUUUCACUCUGCCAUUGUUUUUCACAUGAAGCCUAACGUUAGCUAUGACAAUUGAUAUUAGCUAAUGCUAUUUCAGCUGAUCUCUGCCAGACAGUUGUGAAAAAACUACGGCAGAAAGAAACUUUAACUUUUAAAAUACUGUGUUGCUGUUUGGGAGUUCCAGGUGAACUCAUGGAAGACAUUAUGCUAGCUGCAGUGAUGCCAGAGGUUUCUGAGUGGGCGGUUGGUCCAGAAGAGUGACAUUCUCUCCUUAGAUUCCUUAAACUGAAAAAAAAAAGACAAAAAACUUACUUUCGCUGUUCUAGCUACAUAAAUACCCUCCAUCAAACUAUGGAUGAUGUUGAAGGCACUAUGUAUUCAUGUCUUUCUACAGUUUUUUAUUUGGGAGCUGUUCAGUUUUGUUUAGAUGCUGAGCAUAUUAUAUCACUAUUGAAUAUUAUUGCAUUCACAUUUCACUUGGAUUCAUCCUGACUCACAGAGCUGAGCUAUAUUAUAAUUUGGUUAUGUCUUCCCUGCUUCCAAAAUCUGUAAACUUAUGUGGAUGACCAAAUAUCGUAAACAUUUUAAACCAAGCCUACAUCCCAUAUCCAUCAUUGCCACACCAAAAAUGAGACAUGUUAGCAACUUCCACCAAUUUUGCUCACACUCUGCAUAUGGAGGCCCCAUCUGACACAUAAGUUGGCUAGGCAGACGAGGAUCAGAGUGGUAAUGACUGUUGACGUUAAUUCACACCUUACUCUCAGCGGCCGUGGGCACAGCAGUGAAGAAACUAAGCGUGCUGUAAGAGGAGCCACAAGGAGGACAGCCACUCCCCCUGCCGCAUAAGAUGAUACAGAGAGAGUGUAGGUGCAAGAGAGUAGGGUACUUCAUGACAGACAAAGUUUUUUCUUAAGUGAUCUCAUUACACAACUCACACAGCACCUUCCUCCGCACAUGUACGGUUGAUAUGGAGCCUACACAAGCUGUGUCGUGUUAAUAGGGAACGGUGAUUUAUUUAGCUGGGAAGCAAAUACUAUUUCCAGAUCACUUCAAAUGGAAGGCUCCAAUGAUGUGCAUGUGUGAAGUAAAGUUCCACUGAUAUUUUCAUGUUACCAAAUCAAUGUAGUGAGGCUGUUGACUUUUUGUUGACUACUUUCAUUCGUGCAAACAGUAACACACUCCAUUCAUUUGUGUGUUAUUUUGAAUACCCUCAAGGCUUGCUAAGUGACAAAGAUGGCUAGCCACGUGGGUAAACCAAUUUCCGCAGAAGAUUGAGUACAUUUACGGCAUGAGCUUAUGGGAGACACUUGAGAUAAUUAAAAAAGCAUCUCAAAGCCAAUUGAACACAGGCUGCUGCAAUCAUGUGAGACACACACACACACACAAAGAAACGUACAAGACCACACACUUUAGGAGUAUGCAGAAGUGUGCCCACUACACACCCCAUUGCAAAUGAGUCAUGCAUCAGUAUAAAAGGAAGCUCAAUGUCAACCCCAGCACUGUUUCCUCCUAUCCAUUUCUCGUACUGUCUCCUGUGACAUUUUCUCAGACAACCCAGGAACACACAUCCAACCCACCCACACUCGAGCUUGAGUGUGUAAGUGAUUUACGGCAAAGCAAAAGUGCGAUUAAAGUAAUAAAGUGUGACAGUUUCAAAGAAAUAAAAUGUCUUUUAAAUGAAAGAAUGAAACCGGUAUUGUCCCUAGGGGAAUUUGCUUUGCGGCAAAGAGUCUACAGAAUGCCAUUCGAGCCAUCAUCAGACACAUAGCACUGCGGAGUUAUUUCCAAAUCUUAAUUUCCUAAUGAGGCCAGAUAAGAAGAAAACAAAGUCUAUGAACAUAAAAGUGGAUGACGACUGUAAAUACACAUUUUUGUGCAGUGUCUGUUUGAGAAUAAAGAGCUGUCACCCACUCUUAUUCACCCAGGCCGAAAAUGAGGCUUUGUAAAAUAAUUAUUUGGGUAUUACUUGUGCCUCCGCUCUUCUUUUCAGUCAUUCUAACAUAGAGACAGUGAUAUGUCCCCUGCCUUUCCACAAGCGAAGCUGGCAAUUCUGAAGGGGCUGAAACAAACCAGAAUGUAUCAUCCGUCAGAGAAAGCGUUAUUAAAAAAGUCUCACUCAAUUGAUUGUAAAACUUAGCUAUCAGUCACACUUCCAUUUUUCAAAGGAGGGUUAAACCUUUUGUUGACAUAUUUAUGAAAACUCUUUCUAAGCUUCAAUCUCUGGGUGGGUUCCCAUGGCAGUGGUUGACUGACACUGAGAGUGUUGCUAGGAAACGCAUAUUACGUGGUGCGCUGUAAUGUUUUGAGCACAAUAGCCCUGUAUAUUCUACUAAUGUUAAAACAAAAUGUUUUUUUUCUUCUCAGAUAGUUUUAUUUAUGUAAUGAAGCUCAGCGUAAGUUCUUAAUGGAAGACCUGUAAUUGCGUCUAUCAUCACUCCUAAUUGAUCAGCUGUUUCAUGGCAUUCACUUAUCAGCAGACAAUCGGAUUCAGCUGUUUCCUUGUUAGUUAAACCAAUCAGAUUCAGCCACGUAUCACAAGCCAAUCACAGCAUGACAUCCUGUUUUAAAU